RNAcentral lists this ribosomal RNA (492 nucleotides) under uncultured bacterium. RNAcentral describes it as "partial 16S ribosomal RNA". It matches the Rfam family "Bacterial small subunit ribosomal RNA", at positions 29 to 507 of the family's 1533-position model. The record is from RNAcentral.
AGUGAACGCUGGCGGUAGGCCUAACACAUGCAAGUCGAACGGCAGCACAGUAAGAGCUUGCUCUUACGGGUGGCGAGUGGCGGACGGGUGAGGAAUACAUCGUAAUCUACUUUUUCGUGGGGGAUAACGUAGGGAAACUUACGCUAAUACCGCAUACGACCUACGGGUGAAAGCAGGGGAUCUUCGGACCUUGCGCGAUUGAAUGAGCCGAUGUCGGAUUAGCUAGUUGGCGGGGUAAAGGCCCACCAAGGCGACGAUCCGUAGCUGGUCUGAGAGGAUGAUCAGCCACACUGGAACUGAGGCACGGUCCAGACUCCUACGGGAGGCAGCAGUGGGGAAUAUUGGACAGUGGGCGCAAGCCUGAUCCAGCCAUACCGCGUGGGUGAAGAAGGCCUUCGGGUUGUAAAGCCCUUUUGUUGGGAAAGAAAAGCAGCAGGUUAAUACCCCGCUGUUCUGACGGUACCCGAAGAAUAAGCACCGGCUAACUUCGUG